GAUCAUGGCUCAGGACGAACGCUGGCGGCGUGCCUAAUACAUGCAAGUAGAACGCUGAAGAGAAAAGCUUGCUCUUCUUGGAUGAGUUGCGAACGGGUGAGUAACGCGUAGGUAACCUGCCUUGUAGCGGGGGAUAACUAUUGGAAACGAUAGCUAAUACCGCAUAACAAUGGAUGACACAUGUCAUUUAUUUGAAAGGGGCAAUUGCUCCACUACAAGAUGGACCUGCGUUGUA
RNAcentral lists this ribosomal RNA (235 nucleotides) under uncultured bacterium. RNAcentral describes it as "partial 16S ribosomal RNA". It matches the Rfam family "Bacterial small subunit ribosomal RNA", at positions 15 to 240 of the family's 1533-position model. The record is from RNAcentral.